GACAGAGGGUGCAAACGUUGCUCGGAAUUACUGGGCGUAAAGCGCGUGUAGGCGGACCAGCAAGUCGGACGUGAAAUCCCUGAGCUCAACUCAGGAACUGCAUCCGAAACUGCUGGUCUGGAGUGGUGGAGAGGGAAGCAGAAUUCCUGGUGUAGAGGUGAAAUUCGUAGAUAUCAGGAGGAACACCGGUGGCGAAGGCGGCUUCCUGGACACUUACUGACGCUGAGACGCGAAAGCGUGGGGAGCGAACAGG
RNAcentral lists this ribosomal RNA (253 nucleotides) under uncultured bacterium. RNAcentral's name for it is "partial 16S ribosomal RNA". It matches the Rfam family "Bacterial small subunit ribosomal RNA", at positions 524 to 776 of the family's 1533-position model. The record is from RNAcentral.